UACGGGAGGCAGCAGUGGGGAAUAUUGCACAAUGGGCGCAAGCCUGAUGCAGCCAUGCCGCGUGUAUGAAGAAGGCCUUCGGGUUGUAAAGUACUUUCAGUCGUGAGGAAGGUGUUAAGGUUAAUAACCUUAGCAAUUGACGUUAGCGACAGAAGAAGCACCGGCUAACUCCGUGCCAGCAGCCGCGGUAAUACGGAGGGUGCGAGCGUUAAUCGGAAUUACUGGGCGUAAAGGGCACGCAGGCGGUUAAUAAGUUGGAUGUGAAUCCCCGGGCUUAACCUGGGAAUGGCAUUCAAGACUGGUUAGCUAGAGUCUUGUAGAGGGGGUAGAAUUCCAUGUGUAGCGGUGAAAUGCGUAGAGAUGUGGAGGAAUACCGGUGGCGAAGGCGGCCCCUGGGACAAAGACUGACGCUCAUGUGCGAAAGCGUGGGGAGCAAACAGGGAUUUAGAUACC
RNAcentral lists this ribosomal RNA (453 nucleotides) under uncultured bacterium. Its description in RNAcentral is "bacterial SSU rRNA". It matches the Rfam family "Bacterial small subunit ribosomal RNA", at positions 340 to 786 of the family's 1533-position model. The record is from RNAcentral.